AUGAAUUGCCUAAGUUGGAACUGCCAGGGGGCGGGGAACCCUCGGACAGUUCGCGACCUUGUAACACUAGUAGGUGCUCAUUCUCCAAAGUUUGUGUUUUUGCAUGAAACUAGAAAACAAAAAAACAAAAUGUUUGGUCUUCGCACUUGGUUAGGACAUGUUUGUUUUGAGGGGGUUAGUAGUGAAGGUCAAAGUGGAGGUAUUGCUUUAUUUUGGCAUGAGUCUGUAAUAGUUAAGUCAAGGAAGCUAAUAAAAAUUGGAUUGAUGUGUAUGUCCGCUUGGCUCUGA
RNAcentral lists this ribosomal RNA (288 nucleotides) under Triticum aestivum (bread wheat). RNAcentral's name for it is "partial small subunit ribosomal RNA". The record is from RNAcentral. Lineage: Eukaryota; Viridiplantae; Streptophyta; Magnoliopsida; Poales; Poaceae.